Molecule: unclassified non-coding RNA, 234 nt
Filed under: Hevea brasiliensis (rubber tree)
Lineage: Eukaryota; Viridiplantae; Streptophyta; Magnoliopsida; Malpighiales; Euphorbiaceae
Source: RNAcentral
ACAGUGACAGAAGACAUGCCAUUGCUGCGGGAAGAAACAGGUUUUCUCUCUUCAAAAUGUUGUACUUGACAUAAUUCAUUAAGCUCUCUUGCAGGAUGCAAUUUAAGUGUCUCUGGAGUAAUCAAAGGCUCCAAAAGUGGCUUUAUGCUCUGAAAGACCACCUCUUUGUCGUAUCCAGAAUCUACAAAAAUAGCUCCCGCUAGAGAUUCAAUCACAUCUCCAAGAACCUUGGGA